This 115-nucleotide transfer RNA is filed under the name Diplodia corticola. RNAcentral's name for it is "Botryosphaeria corticola tRNA". It matches the Rfam family "tRNA". From Rfam's summary of the family: Transfer RNA (tRNA) molecules are approximately 80 nucleotides in length. Their secondary structure includes four short double-helical elements and three loops (D, anti-codon, and T loops). Further hydrogen bonds mediate the characteristic L-shaped molecular structure. tRNAs have two regions of fundamental functional importance: the anti-codon, which is responsible for specific mRNA codon recognition, and the 3' end, to which the tRNAs corresponding amino acid is attached (by aminoacyl-tRNA synthetases). tRNAs cope with the degeneracy of the genetic code in two manners: having more than one tRNA (with a specific anti-codon) for a particular amino acid; and 'wobble' base-pairing, i.e. permitting non-standard base-pairing at the 3rd anti-codon position. The record is from Rfam by way of RNAcentral. Lineage: Eukaryota; Fungi; Ascomycota; Dothideomycetes; Botryosphaeriales; Botryosphaeriaceae.
UCUUCCGUGGCGCAAUUGGCUAGCGCGUCUGACUGUUAAAAGAUAUCCGAUGCCGUCCUUGGUGUUUGAUGUCGUUGCAAUCAGGAGGUUGACAGUUCAAGCCUGUCCGGGAGAG